UCAUCACGCGCGCGCUAAAAAUAGAAACGGGGUUGGAUCGUGAUCCAGAAAUAGAUAGGGGGCAUCACUCCUAUAAAAGGCACACCAUUCAAGAGUAAGAGUGAGAGGAGCAGAAAAACCCAAGCAGAUUUAUACACCAAAAAAUGUGUUGUUUUUUUUUAGAUGCAACUUGUGUUUCCAAUGAAGAUGCUGCGAAAAUGGUGAGUUGCGUUGCCUUUGCUCUUCCUAUUUUUCAUUGUUGUCAGUUAAUUUUCAAAAUAAAAGAUGCAUUUUUCGUGCAAAAUGUCGGGGCAUCUGCAGGUGGUGGAUUUUAAGAAAAAAAAUAAAAAAAAACACGGUAGUGUCACGAGUGCAGUGAGGAUUUCUGCAGUCUGUGCAUCCUGCUUGAACGGAUGUACGCCGGUCUUGUGUGCGCGCAAGCGACAGGGGGAAUCACCCUUAGUUGUGGUCACCGUGGAUGCUUUUUAUGCACGUUUUAGUGGGUGAAAUUGGAUAUUUUUCACGGCGACGCGGGUAUAGCCUCUGAAAGAAAAAAAAAGGGGGGGGGGGGCGCUUGCGAACCCCGCUGCUGUGCUUGAACAGCGGGGAAGGGAGCUGUCCACCGUCUGUGGUGCUGAAGUGUUGCAGGAUUCUGCACGAAGCAGCCUCACACUCUGGGCAUCGUGAUGCACCAAAUUCUCACGGAGAGGGAUGAUCUCCAUAUAUAUGUAUAGAUAUAGUUGCUUAUUUUGCUUGUGAGCGCGGUGAGCCUCGAGUCGUGACUGCUAAAAGUGAGUAAGGCGCGUGCUGCGUCAGUGGCGUCUGGCUCCGGUGCGCUCUAGACAGAUGGGGGGAAUCGUGACCGGCAGGGAGACGCGGCCAAGAAUGAGAGGCUAAACGGCCCAAUGAAAGCGAGGCGAGGGUGGGGCCCCUCCAGCGACAGCUGCUAAUGAGGAAAACUUUUUUUUCCUCCAAAAAUAAAGAAAUCAGGUGCGCAUCGACGCGUGCGUAAAAGCGCAAAUCCGGUUUUUCCUGACCUGUUCGGAUGUCUGUUUUUGCUGUUGUUGAUGUUGUUGUUUUUAAGGCUAAUAGUUUAAUAGUGUCCUCAGUGGAGGCUCAUGCAAAUGUCAGGUGCGGUGGCCUCCUGCUUAAGUGCUCUUUUCCCCGGUGCAGCGAUUGGUGGCGGACUCCUCGUCCCGGCCAAUCAGAGGACGAGCAUUCCUCUGCUGCGCGUGAAAGUCUGGAUCAGCAGGAAGAUGCCGCCUCUCUCCACCGCCGCUCUUUUUAAUAACACAGCUGCCUGUUGCUGCAAAAGACACAUACAAUUCCAUGGAAAAAAUUAAGAGAUUGAUUCCUGAGAAUUGCUCCAGUCAUAAAUUAUACUUUAGUUCUGAUAUGUAGUUAUUAUUUUUAUUAAGUUGGUGAUUCUAUUGUAUUUUUUUUUACUUGAAUAUGCAUCGAUUCAUCUUGUUGUUUCAAUGAAUACAACAGAAAUAAAGUGUGUUCUCUGUAAAUUGUAACGUUUAGUUUAGAAUAAAUUAUACUUCUGCACUAAAGAAUUAAAACUGAGUGGAAUAUUACAAAAGUUUUAUCUUAUUUUGUAUGUUUAUGAAAAAUGUGUUUUAAUUCAAUGUGUUUCAUGGAAAAAAGUAUAUGUGUAUCCAACCUAAUAGAAGAAAUAAAAGGUGUGUAUGCCAAAAAGUAUUCUGUGCUUCUUUAUAAUGCAGACUCACACAAGUGACAAAUGAAAACAGAAAUAUUUUUCUAAAUACAUUAAUAACAAUAAUUCAAUUUGUUUAUAUUUUAUUGAUAAUUGACACCAUAAACUCUAAAUCUGCUGCCGUUGUUUUAUUUAUGGUAAUAUAUUUUGAAUCAUUUGAUCACUUUAUUGAAACUUUACUCACCAUCAUGAGGACGGCGGAUCCGCUUCGUUUGCCCCGCAGCCUCUCACCGGGAUCAGCAGGUACUGGUCCAUUUGGGUUCCAAACUGAAAUCCAGAUUUCAUUCAUGUUCCAGUGAAAGCUCCCCAGCAAACACUUAGUUCUGUUUACAAGUGCUGCAUUUCUAUUUUUGGACGCAAUGAGCCUUAUGUAACGCUAACAUUAUGGACCACUGCUGUCUGCUCCACUUGAAUGAACUGAGUAGUGUGUGUACAUACGUAUUCAGCUUUGACCAUCAACAAGAAUCAUCUAUUAAUAUCCAUUGAAAAAAAAAUGCAACAAAAAGCAAAAAUGACAUAAAAAGUCAAAUAUUUUUUACUUCAUUCACAACAAUAUUCUAUUGUUACGCAUUAUUUUUAGUUGUUAUUUGUAACAAAAAAUAUUUUUAAUUAAUUUUAGUUUAUUUAUACAAAGCAUCGAAGGUUGUUUAGUAGUAUCUGUAGUUUCCUUUCUUUAUUUAGUGCAUUAUUUGUUUCAUGAAUAAUAAAAAAUAAAAAUACCUUACAAGGAAAUGGUUCAUUAUUACUUUAUCUUUAAUCAAGAAGAUAAUUGAAAACUAAUUGGAGUCAGCACCAUCACAAAAACAACCAAAUCUCUACAUUUUGUAACUUUUUUCUGUAAAAAUAUAAACAAAAUAAUAUAUUUGCAUUAUUUUUUAUUUUUGCAUCAUUUAGUUUUCUUUCUAUUUAUUUAAUGAAAGUAGAGAUCAGAUACAAUAAAUUGUUAUUUACAGUGCACCAUUAGGAAUAAAAAAAUGAAAGAAUGAUGUUUUGUUUACAAUAAUGUAAGAAAAGAGAACAAUAAAAAGUGAGAAGUUGAGCACCUGAAAACCACUUCCUGUUUUUGACUGUGAACAAAGCAUCUGAAUUUUAAAAAACAUCACAGUUUAGAAAUCUAUCGGUGACACACUUCUGUUCGGAGUUGUGUAACUAAUUUUAUUACUCUAUUUUUUUUUACAUGUUUUUUACAGAUGUGGGAUUCUUGAACCCAAACUUUUUUAAUUUCUUCCAAACAGAGCGGCUCCAUUUCCCUUUUUGAAGGACACUGAUGAACCUGACAGACAGACUUUAGCUUAGUAGUUAGAAACAUUUUUUGUACACUCAUUUUAAAAAUGUACCUCAUAAUAUUAUAAAUUUAGCUCUGAUCACAUGUUUCGUCAAUGCUGUUUCCAGAAAACAUAAUUUAUCAAACACUGAAUUUUACUGUUAUUUGGUAAUAAUAACCCUAACUUGUUGUGUGCGACAAUCGUAACAAACAAUAUUUAUUGAUAGAAGGCUGCCAAAGGACUGAAAAAAAUAGAUGCUACUAUUUCAAAUCCAUAUUUUAUUAAAAAA
Molecule: long non-coding RNA, 3253 nt
Organism: Oryzias melastigma (Indian medaka)
Lineage: Eukaryota; Metazoa; Chordata; Actinopteri; Beloniformes; Adrianichthyidae
Exons: 2
Source: RefSeq, a predicted model, not a curated record